CCUACGGUAGGCAGCAGUGAGGAAUAUUGGUCAAUGGACGGGAGUCUGAACCAGCCAAGUAGCGUGAGGGAUGAAUGCCCUAUGUAUUGUAAACUUCUUUUAUAAGGGAAUAAAACGAGGCACGUGUCCCUUUUUGCAUGUACUUUAUGAAUAAGGAUCGGCUAACUCCGUGCCAGCAGCCGCGGUAAUACGGAGGAUACGAGCGUUAUCCGGCUUUAUUGGGUUUAAAGGGAGCGUAGAUGGGUUGUUAAGUCAGUGGUGAAAGUCUGCGGCUCAACCGUAAAAGUGAAAUUGAUACUGGCAGUCUUGAGUAGAGUUGAGGUAGGCGGAAUGCGUGGUGUAGCGGUGAAAUGCUUAGAUAUCACGAAGAACCCCGAUUGCGAAGGCAGCUUACUAAACUGUGACUGACGUUGAUGCUCGAAAGUGUGGGUAUCAAACAGGAUUAGAUACCCGGGUAGUC
Molecule: ribosomal RNA, 460 nt
Filed under: uncultured bacterium
Lineage: Bacteria
Description: partial 16S ribosomal RNA
Rfam family: Bacterial small subunit ribosomal RNA
Source: RNAcentral